This 1027-nucleotide long non-coding RNA is filed under the name Fragaria vesca (wild strawberry). RNAcentral describes it as "long non-coding RNA (FVES_LNC004298)". Lineage: Eukaryota; Viridiplantae; Streptophyta; Magnoliopsida; Rosales; Rosaceae. The record is from RNAcentral.
CUUUUCAGAUACGGACGUCCGUAUUUAUUCAAAAGGUACGUAUUUCCUUAAUUGACAUACAUUUCGAUCAUAUUUUCUCAUCUCAACCAUACAUCUUUUAGGUAUAUAUGAGUAGAUCAUCUCUACAAAAUUUUAGUCAAUUGAUACUCAUUAAGGUAGUCAAAACUGUGAAUUACACGAACGGUUCCUGUUAAACAGGUUUGGUUCGUUCAUUAUAAUCAUAUAGUUUUGAUAUCUUAACGAUUAUCAAUUUGGCUGAAAAUUUGUAGAGAUGAUCUACUAAUAUAUACCUACAAUGUGAAUGGUUAAAAUGAGAAAAUAUGAUCUAAAAGUGGGCCAAUUAAGAAAAUCCAUAUCUUUUGAAUAAAUACGGAUAUUUAGACAUGAUAUAAAAAUGGGUCAAUUAUGUGUUAUAUAUAUAUAACACAUAAACUUUCUCAGGCUAGGUAAGGACCUCCUUAACUUAACUAUGAUGCAGAUUUUCUUAAUAAACCCAUUUUUCGAUCAUACUUUUGCAUUUUAACCGUACGUUCAGUUUUUAGGUAUAUAUGAGCAUAUCAUCUUUGUAAAUUUUUAGAUAAUUUGGUGAUUAUUAAGGUAUCGAAAAUGUAUUAAAUCAAUGAAUGAUCCAAAUCUAUUUAACCUAAGCCAUUCGUGUUGAACUGAAUUCUGUUGAACCUGAAUCGUUUACGUCUACAACAAAAAAAUAUAAUUAUGAGUGCUUUAACGAUCACAAAAUUGGCUAAAAAUUUACAAAAAUUAUCUACUUAUAUAUAUGCCUAAAACUGAACGGUUAAGAUAAGAAAAUGUGAUAAAAAAGUUUGUCUAUUAAAAAUAUCCGCACCAUAAAAAUAAAUAAAAUCUUUAUUUGAAAAUGAUUGUGUGUGUACAUACUAUUAUUAAAAGAAAAUAUAGGGCUUUAUCGUAAUUAAGCUUUUGAAGGGUUUGAUUUGUGUUUGCAGUGGCUGCCCUAGAAGAAAUUGCUAAACAGAUAAGAAAAACAGACUGGACUUCAGCGUAGACCCGU